UACGAGGGGGGCGAGCGUUGUUCGGAAUUAUUGGGCGUAAAGGGUGCGUAGGCGGUUUGGUAAGUCUCUUGUGAAAUCUCUGGGCUCAACUCAGAGUCUGCAAGGGAAACUGCCGGGCUUGAGUGUGGGAGAGGUGAGUGGAAUUUCCGGUGUAGCGGUGAAAUGCGUAGAUAUCGGAAGGAACACCUGUGGCGAAAGCGGCUCACUGGACCACAACUGACGCUGAUGCACGAAAGCUAGGGGAGCAAACAGG
RNAcentral lists this ribosomal RNA (253 nucleotides) under uncultured Acidobacteriota bacterium. Its description in RNAcentral is "uncultured Acidobacteria bacterium partial 16S ribosomal RNA". It matches the Rfam family "Bacterial small subunit ribosomal RNA", at positions 524 to 776 of the family's 1533-position model. The record is from RNAcentral. Lineage: Bacteria; Pseudomonadati; Acidobacteriota.